RNAcentral lists this ribosomal RNA (253 nucleotides) under uncultured bacterium. Its description in RNAcentral is "partial 16S ribosomal RNA". It matches the Rfam family "Bacterial small subunit ribosomal RNA", at positions 524 to 776 of the family's 1533-position model. The record is from RNAcentral.
UACGUAGGGGGCUAGCGUUGUCCGGAAUCAUUGGGCGUAAAGCGCGUGUAGGCGGCCCGGUAAGUCCGCUGUGAAAGUCGGGGGCUCAACCCUCGGAUGCCGGUGGAUACUGUCGGGCUAGAGUACGGAAGAGGCGAGUGGAAUUCCUGGUGUAGCGGUGAAAUGCGCAGAUAUCAGGAGGAACACCAAUUGCGAAGGCAGCUCGCUGGGACGUCACUGACGCUGAGGCGCGAAAGCUAGGGUAGCAAACGGG